GGAGGCGAGUCGGGACUGGUGUCCUGCGCGGUCUUCAAAACCGUUGGGCGGCCCGGAUCGGGUCGCAGGUGGGUUCGAUUCCCAUGCGCCUCCGCCA
This 97-nucleotide transfer RNA is filed under the name Acidobacteriota bacterium. RNAcentral's name for it is "Acidobacteria bacterium (wastewater metagenome) tRNA-Sec". It matches the Rfam family "Selenocysteine transfer RNA". The record is from RNAcentral. Lineage: Bacteria; Pseudomonadati; Acidobacteriota.